AAUUUAGCAGGGACUAGUCGGGGUAUGGAAUGAUGAUUCAAGAUAGCUAUUUUAGUAGUCCUCACUAUUUUGUAAAAUAGUGUAUUAAUAAAUGUAAGGAGGACUUAUUUGAGUGUGGAUGUUGCCUAGAAGACAAUAUUUGUUUUUAAACUCACAGUAUGUGUUGUCGUAUUUUGCACGACAAUUGUAAUAAUGAAGUUGUAGUUUUCUUUAUGUACCAUGUAUUUGGCGACUCAGAAUG
This 241-nucleotide long non-coding RNA is filed under the name Panax ginseng (ginseng). Its description in RNAcentral is "long non-coding RNA (PGIN_LNC011767)". The record is from RNAcentral. Lineage: Eukaryota; Viridiplantae; Streptophyta; Magnoliopsida; Apiales; Araliaceae.